This 240-nucleotide ribosomal RNA is filed under the name uncultured bacterium. Its description in RNAcentral is "partial 16S ribosomal RNA". It matches the Rfam family "Bacterial small subunit ribosomal RNA", at positions 29 to 259 of the family's 1533-position model. The record is from RNAcentral.
AACGAACGCUGGCGGCGCGCCUAAUACAUGCAAGUCGAGCGAGAAGACGUAGCAAUACGUUUGUAAAGCGGCGAACGGGUGAGGAAUACAUGGGUAACCUACCCUCGAGUGGGGAAUAACUAGCCGAAAGGUUAGCUAAUACCGCGUACGCUCCUUGGACUUCGGUUCAGGGAGGAAAGCGAUACCGUGGGUAUCGCGCUCUUGGAUGGGCUCAUGUCCUAUCAGCUUGUUAGGAGGUAC